This 506-nucleotide ribosomal RNA is filed under the name uncultured bacterium. RNAcentral describes it as "partial 16S ribosomal RNA". It matches the Rfam family "Bacterial small subunit ribosomal RNA", at positions 29 to 523 of the family's 1533-position model. The record is from RNAcentral.
AGUGAACGCUGGCGGUAGGCCUAACACAUGCAAGUCGAACGGCAGCACAGGAGAGCUUGCUCUCUGGGUGGCGAGUGGUGGACGGGUGAGGAAUACAUCGGAAUCUACUUUUUCGUGGGGGAUAACGUAGGGAAACUUACGCUAAUACCGCAUACGACCUACGGGUGAAAGCAGGGGACCUUCGGGCCUUGCGCGAUUGAAUGAGCCGAUGUCGGAUUAGCUAGUUGGCGGGGUAAAGGCCCACCAAGGCGACGAUCCGUAGCUGGUCUGAGAGGAUGAUCAGCCACACUGGAACAGAGACACGGUCCAGACUCCUACGGGAGGCAGCAGUGGGGAAUAUUGGACAAUGGGCGCAAGCCUGAUCCAGCCAUACCGCGUGGGUGAAGAAGGCCUUCGGGUUGUAAAGCCCUUUUGUUGGGAAAGAAAUCCAGCUGGCUAAUACCCGGUUGGGAUGACGGUACCCAAAGAAUAAGCACCGGCUAACUUCGUGCCAGCCGCCGCGGUAA